RNAcentral lists this ribosomal RNA (305 nucleotides) under uncultured bacterium. Its description in RNAcentral is "bacterial SSU rRNA". It matches the Rfam family "Bacterial small subunit ribosomal RNA", at positions 334 to 653 of the family's 1533-position model. The record is from RNAcentral.
AUGUCCUACGGGACGCAGCAGUGGGGAAUAUUGGGCAAUGGGCGCAAGCCUGACCCAGCAACGCCGCGUGAAGGAAGAAGGCUUUCGGGUUGUAAACUUCUUUUCUCAGGGACGAAGCAAGUGACGGUACCUGAGGAAUAAGCCACGGCUAACUACGUGCCAGCAGCCGUGGUAAUACGUAGGUGGCAAGCGUUAUCCGGAUUUACUGGGUGUAAAGGGCGUGUAGGCGGGAAAGCAAGUCAGAUGUGAAAACCACGGGCUCAACCCUUGGACUGCUUUGGAAACUGUGCUGCUGGAGUGUCGGG